This 459-nucleotide ribosomal RNA is filed under the name uncultured bacterium. RNAcentral describes it as "partial 16S ribosomal RNA". It matches the Rfam family "Bacterial small subunit ribosomal RNA", at positions 338 to 795 of the family's 1533-position model. The record is from RNAcentral.
CCUACGGGUGGCAGCAGUGAGGAAUAUUGGUCAAUGGGCGGGAGCCUGAACCAGCCAAGUCGCGUGAGGGACGACGGUCCUAUGGAUUGUAAACCUCUUUUGUCGGGGAGCAAACGCGCCCACGGGUGUGCGGAUGAGUGUACCCGAAGAACAAGGAUCGGCAAACUCCGUGCCAGCAGCCGCGGUAAUACGGAGGAUGCGAGCGUUAUCCGGAUUUAUUGGGUUAAAGGGGUGCGUAGGCGGACGAUGAAGUCAGCGGUAAAAAUGCGGUGCUCAACGCGGUACAGCCGUUGAAACUGGCAGUCUUGAGUGGGCGAGAAGUAUGCGGAAUGCGUGGUGUAGCGGUGAAAUGCAUAGAUAUCACGCAGAACACCGAUUGCGAAGGCAGCAUACCGGCGCACUACUGACGCUGAGGCACGAAAGCGUGGGUAUCGAACAGGAUUAGAUACCCUGGUAGUC